This 465-nucleotide ribosomal RNA is filed under the name Vreelandella stevensii. Its description in RNAcentral is "partial 16S ribosomal RNA". It matches the Rfam family "Bacterial small subunit ribosomal RNA", at positions 338 to 795 of the family's 1533-position model. The record is from RNAcentral. Lineage: Bacteria; Pseudomonadati; Pseudomonadota; Gammaproteobacteria; Oceanospirillales; Halomonadaceae.
CCUACGGGCGGCUGCAGUGGGGAAUAUUGGACAAUGGGGGGAACCCUGAUCCAGCCAUGCCGCGGGUGUGAAGAAGGCCCUCGGGUGGUAAAGCACUUUCAGUGAGGAAGAACGCCUGGUGGUUAAUACCCAUCAGGAAAGACAUCACUCACAGAAGAAGCACCGGCUAACUCCGUGCCAGCAGCCGCGGUAAUACGGAGGGUGCGAGCGUUAAUCGGAAUUACUGGGCGUAAAGCGCGCGUAGGUGGCUUGAUAAGCCGGUUGUGAAAGCCCCGGGCUCAACCUGGGAACGGCAUCCGGAACUGUCAAGCUAGAGUGCAGGAGAGGAAGGUAGAAUUCCCGGUGUAGCGGUGAAAUGCGUAGAGAUCGGGAGGAAUACCAGUGGCGAAGGCGGCCUUCUGGACUGACACUGACACUGAGGUGCGAAAGCGUGGGUAGCAAACAGGAUUAGAUACCCGUGUAGUC